GUCAACAGCAACAACUGGGUACUGAGCAUCAAGCAGCAGGUAACAUAGUACCGGUGAUGAUUUUUAAGCUUCAGAUUCAAUGACUUACAGGUGCUGUGUAAAAUAAGUUCUCCAGGAGACUCUGGUCAUAUUGAGGGUCAUUUGGCUCAC
This is a long non-coding RNA of Equus quagga, 150 nucleotides long. RefSeq lists it as uncharacterized. The record is from RefSeq and is a predicted model, not a curated record. The transcript is spliced from 3 exons. NCBI's taxonomy places the organism in Eukaryota, Metazoa, Chordata, Mammalia, Perissodactyla, Equidae.